AGCGAACGCUGGCGGCAGGCCUAACACAUGCAAGUCGAACGGAUCCUUCGGGAUUAGUGGCGGACGGGUGAGUAACACGUGGGAACGUGCCCUUUGGUUCGGAACAACUCAGGGAAACUUGAGCUAAUACCGGAUGUGCCCUUCGGGGGAAAGAUUUAUCGCCAUUGGAGCGGCCCGCGUCUGAUUAGCUAGUUGGUGAGGUAACGGCCCACCAGGGCGACGAUCAGUAGCUGGUCUGAGAGGAUGAUCAGCCACACUGGGACUGAGACACGGCCCAGACUCCUACGGGAGGCAGCAGUGGGGAAUCUUGCGCAAUGGGCGAAAGCCUGACGCAGCCAUGCCGCGUGAAUGAUGAAGGUCUUAGGAUUGUAAAAUUCUUUCAGCGGGGACGAUAAUGACGGUACCCGCAGAAGAAGCUCCGGCUAACUUCGUG
Molecule: ribosomal RNA, 433 nt
Filed under: uncultured bacterium
Lineage: Bacteria
Description: partial 16S ribosomal RNA
Rfam family: Bacterial small subunit ribosomal RNA
Source: RNAcentral